AGCACCUGCCCACACCUGGCCUCAGCUGGUGCCAGCACGCGUUUCACGUUCAGGGCCGUCAGUCUUUUCUCAUAGAUUCAGGACAGAGGUUGGAGGAGCUGCACGGGCUUGUUCCUGGUGUUUAACGGAGAGGUGGGAUGGCGGACACAACCCAGCAACGACGGAUCCCGAGGAGCAAUGGCAGCUGCUGCCAGCCUGCAACUGGCUCUGGCUUCAGCUUCUCCAGAGCUACACAGCCAGAGAGUGUUAAAAAACAUCCCUGAAGGUUCAGACACAGACACCCCAGUGCGAUCCGAGUCUCAGAAUCCCAGAGUCAUUUAAUUUGGAAAAGACCUCCAAGAGUAUUGAGUCCAUCUCUUGCCUGAUCAUCACUUUGUCAACCAAACCAAAGCCCCGAGUUCCACAUCCAGUCGAUUCCUGGACACCUCCAGGGAUGGAAACUCCAUCCCCUCCCUGGGCAGCCGUUCAGUGCCUGACACCCUUUCAAUAAAGUUCUCUGUGAUGUCCCA
This is a long non-coding RNA of Passer domesticus (house sparrow), 509 nucleotides long. RefSeq lists it as uncharacterized. Lineage: Eukaryota; Metazoa; Chordata; Aves; Passeriformes; Passeridae. The record is from RefSeq and is a predicted model, not a curated record. The transcript has 2 exons.